GACGAACGCUGGCGGCGUGCUUAACACAUGCAAGUCGAACGGAAAGGCCCCCUUGUGGGAUACUCGAGUGGCGAACGGGUGAGUAACACGUGAGUAACCUACCCUUGACUUUGGGAUAACUUCAGGAAACUGGGGCUAAUACCGGAUAGGAGCUCCUGCUGCAUGGUGGGGGUUGGAAAGUUUCGGCGGUUGGGGAUGGACUCGCGGCUUAUCAGCUUGUUGGUGGGGUAGUGGCUCACCAAGGCUUUGACGGGUAGCCGGCCUGAGAGGGUGACCGGCCACAUUGGGACUGAGAUACGGCCCAGACUCCUACGGGAGGCAGCAGUGGGGAAUAUUGCACAAUGGGCGGAAGCCUGAUGCAGCAACGCCGCGUGCGGGAUGACGGCCUUCGGGUUGUAAACCGCUUUCGCCUGUGACGAAGCGUGAGUGACGGUAAUGGGUAAAGAAGCACCGGCUAACUACGUG
RNAcentral lists this ribosomal RNA (465 nucleotides) under uncultured bacterium. RNAcentral's name for it is "partial 16S ribosomal RNA". It matches the Rfam family "Bacterial small subunit ribosomal RNA", at positions 28 to 507 of the family's 1533-position model. The record is from RNAcentral.